RNAcentral lists this RNase P RNA (343 nucleotides) under Candidatus Zhuqueibacterota bacterium. RNAcentral describes it as "candidate division KSB1 bacterium (activated sludge metagenome) RNase P RNA component class A". It matches the Rfam family "Bacterial RNase P class A". Rfam says of the family: Ribonuclease P (RNase P) is a ubiquitous endoribonuclease, found in archaea, bacteria and eukarya as well as chloroplasts and mitochondria. Its best characterised activity is the generation of mature 5'-ends of tRNAs by cleaving the 5'-leader elements of precursor-tRNAs. Lineage: Bacteria; Pseudomonadati. The record is from RNAcentral.
CAAGCCGGCCGGACCAUCGCGUUCCGCUUGCGGAAUGAGGAAAGUCCGAACACGAUAGAGCAAGGUAAGAGGUAACUCCUCUCGCCAGCGAUGGCGUUAUAGGGCCACAGAAACCAGGUCUGCCUCGUUUGCGCAUGCGCAAACGAAGUAAGAGUGAAAAGGGUAACCAAUACCUCGUGCAAAUGCAAAUAGGCUUACGCUCUCCGCAUCUGCGGAGUGAAGAGUGGCUCGCUCAAGUAAGCGGGUAGCAUGCUCGAGGCUGUUGGCGACAACAGUCCCAGAUAAAUGAUGGUCAUUCCGUUUCAACGGAAUACAGAAUUCGGCUUAUAGGCCGGCUUGAAAU